This 229-nucleotide ribosomal RNA is filed under the name uncultured bacterium. Its description in RNAcentral is "partial 16S ribosomal RNA". It matches the Rfam family "Bacterial small subunit ribosomal RNA", at positions 568 to 796 of the family's 1533-position model. The record is from RNAcentral.
CACGUAGGCGGCCUGGUAAGUCAGAUGUGAAAGCCCGGGGCUUAACCCCGGAAGUGCAUUUGAUACUGUCAGGCUUGAGUAUGGGAGAGGGAAGUGGAAUUCCUGGUGUAGAGGUGAAAUUCGUAGAUAUCAGGAGGAACACCGGUGGCGAAGGCGACUUCCUGGACCAAUACUGACGCUGAGGUGCGAAGGCGUGGGGAGCGAACAGGAUUAGAUACCCUGGUAGUCC